AUUACAGUAUACUCUUUAAUUAGCAAGAGGCUUGUGACAGGCAAAACAAAAGGUAACACCAUCUUCUCAUCUACUGUAUGACGACGCACGCUGCACUGUCAGCUGUGCUUCCUCUCAAUGAUUUAUUCGAUGUUUUACAGGCUGAAUGUACACACAGUGUGCUGUUGCAUCUCUCUGACUGGACUGAGGGGUCAGCAGCCUAAGCAAGAAUGACCAGACCUCCCUCUCCCCAGCAACCUCCUCCAUCUUAUCCGGGGGAAGACCGAUGCAUUCCAAGGCCAGCCGAGAGAUAUAAUGUCUUCAGCCGAUCUGCCCAGGGCCAUCCUACAUCAUACAUCUGGAUGAAUGGAUGGAAAGCUCCAGGGAAAAGCUAUGAUUCUGACAAGUAUUGUC
Long non-coding RNA from Oreochromis aureus, 393 nucleotides. The record is from Ensembl. Lineage: Eukaryota; Metazoa; Chordata; Actinopteri; Cichliformes; Cichlidae.